GGCUAUCCAUAUUAGGCUUUUUCAUAAACUUGUCUGAUAUUGCUCAACGUGUGUGUCGUGUAUACUAUGUGUUCGUAACCUGCUAGUUCUGUGUAAACAUACGUGCACGACUUGAACCUAGACCUGACUUGUAUGGUAACCAUGUUAGGACGUGGUUAGCCUCAACCAGCUCGAUUGACCUUCUGUUUAUCUGCCGAGCUAACCUAAGGUGAGUUCACACUUUCUACAAAGCAUGGUAAUUCCCGGUGGGUUUGGGAAUGGGUUAAGGAAUAUGGAUUCCUCGUCCUUCUUGGGUAGGACAGUACGGGUUAAGGAAUGUAUUUCCUCGUCCUCUUGGACAAUUUAAAAUUCACUAGACCAAAACUCUAUCACGAAGUCCCUCCUUUUAUAUCGACUUAAUCGCCGGGCCAAUGGCGAGCGGGUCAUUAGUUAGAUAGCGCUAUUUAGGUCUGACAAGCCUCACACCGUGCCGUAGAGGAUGGGCGUGAACUAAUGGAUCUGGGCACGUCAAUGAUGAUAGACAUUGACGCAAAAGGGCACAUAAACAUGACUAACGUCAGUGGUCGAUAUGGUAACGAGUCUAGUAGUGUAAACACAGGGUAGCCCCCACGGCUGGAUUGGCACAGUAAAUGGGAUAAACAAAUCAUGUUUUCAACUAUGGGGUAACCCCCACGGCAAGGACGCCAGUUAAAGGAAACUAUGUUUUUGGAAUAACUUAACAAAUACCCAACUGUGAACUCGCUCAACUUUGUUGUUGACUCGUUACUACAUGCUUUGCAGGUCACUAGGUUUUGAAGGAGCUUGCAUGGGGAAGAGUCGUUGUGGAGCAUGGACAUUGAGUAUUUGUUAAACCAUUAUUGGACACCAAUUGUAUUGUGUGGUUGAAGUUUUAAUUACUUUACUAUGUUGUUCAAUAUGAUUGGUGGCUUGAUCCUGGACAUGUCACGCCUCCAUGCGGUGAUACUCCGCGAGUGGAUUUUGGGGGUGUGACAAUCACCGCCUACUCGCCUAGUCUCCCAUCAUCACCAGGUGCCACGGAAAAUAGUGGGGAGAGUAGGCGUCGAACUUGGGUCCCUUAGAACACCAAGUAUUUCCCAUACCACUCCACCACCACCACCACCUCAUUAGCCCUUUAAAAUAACAACUAAAGAUGAAAAUUUAUUUUAUCUUCUUUAGUCAAUUUAAUUUUCUCACUGCAAAAAAUCAAACACUUUUUUAAAAUUUUAUUUUGAAAAAGUCAUUAGUCAAUAAGCACUCUUGACAAUAAACACUUUUGCACUUAAAUAAGCAAUCCCAGACACACUCACUGUAUUUUGGUUUUCUCAUUUAAAUUGAGUUUUCUCACUAUAUAUAUAGGCUUGUCUCGGCAUGUGAGCCAACUUGAGCUCAAUUAGUGAAGAUCAGAGUUAGGCACGAGCUCACUAUCCAGCUUAACUUUGGGCUGGAACUUAGGUUUGAGCUCAUCCAAGCUCGGCUAGUUUUGAGUUAUUAGCAAGCCGAUCUUGAAUAGCUCACCUACGGAUCGGCUCAUUUACCCCACUAGUUUAAUAUUGUUCAUGUCGACCAUAUCAUGAAUACUUGCAUGCUGAAAUGUAGUUGCAUCUCUCAUGGAGCACUAGAAAUCCAUAUACCUACCAAUGCCCUAGACAGCUGCCAGAAAACAAAAUCCAAUACGAAUGUGAUAGAAAGAUGUUAGAUUCGGAUAAACAUGAUGUGGUUUAUUAAUCAUACGUGUUUGGUUUUCCACAAAAGGAAAACAAUAAUGGAAGGCAGCAUAACUAGAAAGUACAACAGAACAAGGACAAAAUAGAAAACAAUUGAUUCUCAACGUGUUUGAAUAAUUUGCAUGAUGCUAUACCUAUCUUAUUCUUGCCAGAAAAUCAAAUUAAUGGGGGUAUAGAAUAAACUGAAAUGGAGGUUACUUCGCUUGUAUGUGGAUAUUGCUGUGACAUGCAUGCUAAGUAUGCUAAAUUCCUUUCCCGAUCAACGUUUAGCCAUUUUCAAAGCUCCUGGCUUUGCACUAUGUUAGCAAAAAGUCAAUGUUUUUGGUGAUUGUUGAACAUUAAGCAUUCUACUAAUUAUUCCAUAUAUAUAAAUUAGCAAGUUUCUUGUGCAUCAUGACUUGUACCUAGACCUUGCAAAACAAGCCCAUCCCCUCUAUUUUGGGUUGAUAUGAGUAUUUUAAAUUUUAAGAUGUGUUAAGAUGGGCCAAACUAAAUUACUCACUAGGUUAGGAUGAGUUAUAAAGUGGUGGAUAAAAAAAAGAGUAGGUCAGGAUGGGUAUGAGAUAAAAUCCAAGUGAGUCAGGAUGGGUAUAAGAUAAAAUCACUAAACUAAUUACAAAUCGUAGAUAUCUCCCGUAGUACUCUCCCGUCAUUCUUCGUCUAAAAAUAAUAAAAAAAUCAAAAAAAUUGUAUAAACUCAAAAAAAAAAUCUAAAAAAUAAAAAAAAUCUAAAAAAUC
Molecule: long non-coding RNA, 2462 nt
Filed under: Helianthus annuus (common sunflower)
Lineage: Eukaryota; Viridiplantae; Streptophyta; Magnoliopsida; Asterales; Asteraceae
Description: hypothetical non coding rna
Source: RNAcentral